GGCUCGGUAGCUCAGUUGAUUAGAGCAUUGUCCUGAUACGCCAAGGUUGUGGGUUCAAUCCCCGGUCAGGACA
Myotis lucifugus (little brown bat) is the source of this 73-nucleotide non-coding RNA. Lineage: Eukaryota; Metazoa; Chordata; Mammalia; Chiroptera; Vespertilionidae. The record is from Rfam.